Long non-coding RNA from Gorilla gorilla gorilla (western lowland gorilla), 969 nucleotides. RefSeq lists it as uncharacterized. The transcript has 3 exons. NCBI's taxonomy places the organism in Eukaryota, Metazoa, Chordata, Mammalia, Primates, Hominidae. The record is from RefSeq and is a predicted model, not a curated record.
UGUAGGGUCAGUGUUCACCAGCCCUUUGUCUCCUCCCUGUGAGAGCAGCGCGCAGGAGCUGCUUCCAGGCCGCCAUCUUGACUCAACCCCUCUUAAUGAUUCCUGUGUCUCCGGCUUUUAGAACUAAAGCAGUUAUAAGAAUAUAGACAUAUUCCACUCAGUCGGAGUGUUCAUAAAGGUGUUUAUUUUGUGUGUUUAUUUAUGUAUUUAUUUAUUUAUGUAAUCCCUGCAGGAUAAUUCUAAGUUGGUUUACUGACAACUAUACGCGAUAUUAAGCACCAUACUAUAUCUCAGCAACAUGCAUAUGUUUGAAUGGAGUUCAUGAAAGGAGAAAGACAUUUACCCAUAGAAAAAAACAACACUCAACUUGGGAAGACUUCAACCUCUUCACUCUCCAACCUCCACUCCCUUCAGAGGUAGAAUUUUUCUGAAAGGAUCAGGAAAAUGUAUUUUCUCUGCACUAUUUUCUCUCCAAGAAAAGCAUACUAAGAAUGUUUGCUUCUUAUACUCCACAUAGCCAUCAUCUACCACAGUCAUUCAUCUGGACUUCAAGUCUGCCCUGCUGGGAAGUAGGUCACCACCUCUACACUGGGCCACUGUCAAGAUCCAAAAUGUGCUAAAACUUAAUCACCACUCUAUUUGGUAGCAAUCCAAAGUGGACCAAAACAUUUCCUAAGUAAUACCAAGGUCAAAAAUAUAAUGUCGAUAUGUCAAAUUUUGAUCUCUGUGAGUGGAUACUAGUAAAUGGAGAGUUGUUAUGAGUAGGAUAAGAGGAAAUUUGUUGGUUGUUUCAUAAAAGCAAAGAAAAUUAAGGAAAUAAAAGUAAGCCAUCAACAAGUACAUGUCCAGCAUUAGGAGAUAUACCUAAUGUAAAUGACGAGUUAAUGGGUGCAGCACACCAACAUGGUGCAUGUAUACACAUGUAACAAACCUGCACGUUGUGCACAUGUACCCUAGAACUUAAAGUAU